RNAcentral lists this non-coding RNA (24 nucleotides) under Mus musculus (house mouse). Lineage: Eukaryota; Metazoa; Chordata; Mammalia; Rodentia; Muridae. The record is from RNAcentral.
UCCAGGCAUACUGAUGGCAGGAGC